Molecule: ribosomal RNA, 406 nt
Filed under: Megophrys feae (Kakhien Hills spadefoot toad)
Lineage: Eukaryota; Metazoa; Chordata; Amphibia; Anura; Megophryidae
Description: partial 16S ribosomal RNA
Rfam family: Bacterial large subunit ribosomal RNA
Source: RNAcentral
CCGCGCGAAGGUAGCGUAAUCACUUGUUUUUUAAAUAAAGACUAGUAUGAAUGGCCCCACGAGGACUUAACUGUCUCCCUUGUCCAAUCAGUGAAACUGAUCUCCUCGUGCAGAAGCGAGGAUUCUCUCAUAAGACGAGAAGACCCUAUGGAGCUUUAAACUAAAAUCAACUAUUAUUCAUCUAUACUCCAAGGACCCAAUAAAUAACUAAAUAUGCUUGAUUUAAGUUUUAGGUUGGGGCGACCAUGGAGAAAAAGAAAUCCUCCCUGAUGACCACAAACUAAGAGCCACUGCUCUAAAUAUUAAGACACUUAACUCUAAUUGACCCAUUUUAUGAUCAACGAACCAAGUUACCCUAGGGAUAACAGCGCAAUCCAUUUCAAGAGUCCCUAUCGACAAGUGGGUU